GAGGGGAUAGCUCAGUGGUAGAGUGUGUGCGUAGGAUGCACUACCUCCUGGGUUCAAUCCCCAGUACCUCCA
RNAcentral lists this transfer RNA (72 nucleotides) under Camelus bactrianus (Bactrian camel). It matches the Rfam family "tRNA". From Rfam's summary of the family: Transfer RNA (tRNA) molecules are approximately 80 nucleotides in length. Their secondary structure includes four short double-helical elements and three loops (D, anti-codon, and T loops). The record is from Rfam by way of RNAcentral. Lineage: Eukaryota; Metazoa; Chordata; Mammalia; Artiodactyla; Camelidae. RNAcentral also lists the same sequence under 2 other names.